This 433-nucleotide ribosomal RNA is filed under the name uncultured bacterium. Its description in RNAcentral is "partial 16S ribosomal RNA". It matches the Rfam family "Bacterial small subunit ribosomal RNA", at positions 29 to 507 of the family's 1533-position model. The record is from RNAcentral.
AACGAACGCUGGCGGCAGGCUUAACACAUGCAAGUCGAGCGAUACCUUCGGGUCUAGCGGCGAACGGGUGAGUAACGCGUGGGAACGUGCCCUUCUCUACGGAAUAGCCCCGGGAAACUGGGAGUAAUACCGUAUACGCCCUUUGGGGGAAAGAUUUAUCGGAGAAGGAUGGGCCCGCGUUGGAUUAGGUAGUGGGUGGGGUAAUGGCCCACCAAGCCGACGAUCCAUAGCUGGUUUGAGAGGAUGAUCAACCACACUGGGACUGAGACACGGCCCAGACUCCUACGGGAGGCAGCAGUGGGGAAUCUUAGACAAUGGGGGCAACCCUGAUCUAGCCAUGCCGCGUGAGUGAUGAAGGCCUUAGAGUUGUAAUGCUCUAUCAGCUGGGAAGAUAAUGACGGUACCUGCAGAAGAAGCCCCGGCUAACUACGUG